GAUGAACGCUGACAGAAUGCUUAACACAUGCAAGUCGAUGGGGAAGCGGCGCUUGCGCCGUGGCAACCAUGGCGGACGGGUGAGUAACGCGUAAAGAACUUGCCGGAUGGACCGGGAUAACAGCUGGAAACGGCUGGCAAGACCGGAUACUAUGGGCUGGCCGCAUGGCGGGCCCAUGAAAAGGGAUGCCGUCCGAGAGCUUUGCGUCCUAUUAGCUGGUUGGUAAGGUGACGGCUUACCAAGGCGAUGAUAGGUAGCCGGCCUGAGAGGGUGGACGGCCACAAGGGGACUGAGAUACGGCCCUUACUCCUACGGGAGGCAGCAGUGGGGAAUAUUGGACAAUGGGGGCAACCCUGAUCCAGCAAUUCUGUGUGCACGAAGAAGGUUUUCGGAUCGUAAAGUGCUUUCAGCAGGGAGGAAGGAAGGACUGUACCGCAGAAG
Molecule: ribosomal RNA, 441 nt
Filed under: Leptotrichia sp. oral taxon 498
Lineage: Bacteria; Fusobacteriati; Fusobacteriota; Fusobacteriia; Fusobacteriales; Leptotrichiaceae
Description: bacterial SSU rRNA
Rfam family: Bacterial small subunit ribosomal RNA
Source: RNAcentral